This is a long non-coding RNA of Apus apus (common swift), 1846 nucleotides long. RefSeq lists it as uncharacterized. The transcript has 4 exons. The record is from RefSeq and is a predicted model, not a curated record. Lineage: Eukaryota; Metazoa; Chordata; Aves; Apodiformes; Apodidae.
AGAUAUCUUUCAGGAGGUGCUUUAUUAUAUGGCUGUCUUGCACCAAGCCAAAGUAGGAACAACUGUUCGUUCUAAGAUACAUGAAGUGACUUGUCAGGAUGACCCUCUGAGGAGUGCACUUAAGAGCUCUGGAGAGCUUGAAGGUGUUCUCGGUAUGGAAAGCUGUUGACAACCUGUGUCUGUCCCAUGGAGGUGAUGAGUAUCAUGACCCAGUCCUGCUUUUCUGACUGCCUGCAUUGGAGACUCUCCUGGGCCAGUAGCAGCUGUCCUCCAGUCCCAGCACCCAGUUCAGUACAAAAAUGUUGGGUUUUUUUUGUGGUUGGUUUUUGUUUUGUGGUUGUUGUUUUUUUUGUUGGUUUGAUUUUUGUUUGUUUUUGUUUGGGUUUUUUUUGCCAGACAUUUCCUCUGGUACUUGUGUUGUCAUUUACUGUGACUAGUACUGCUCUGUUUCUUCUCCAGAGUGAUGUAAAGCAAACCAAGCCUCCCCAAAUCCAACUCCUUCCAGGCAGGGCUCGAUGCCCACAGGGGCAUCCAGCCUGCACCAUCAAGAGGCUGCUCAAAACCUCCCAGGACUGAGAUCCAUGCCAUGAAAAUAUGGAGCCACAUUCUUGAGCUGAUGUAAACUGGUGUAGCUCCGUUGAUGUUGAUCCAGCCUAUACAAGCUGAAAAUAUGGCUUAGAGUAAGUGAAUCAUACUGCUGAAAUGUAGCCAGCUCCAAAGCAUACCUGUCCCAUGGGUAUGCUGAGAAGUUAAAGUUGCUUCCACCCUUUUUGGCUGAUAAUCCACAAAUGAGCCACAAAUCUGGCAUGAAAGAAAGGCUGCAGUGUAACACAUGAGUCACUUUACCCACUACAAAAUGUCACUGGUUCUGGAGAGAGAUGCAGCAGCUGUUUAGCAGAGUGUAGCCCAGGUGGCAGAGAUGGUCCUGUUAUUAUACAGCUCUGUAAAUGAACUCACUGUUUUGCAAACUAACAGGCCUUCUUUGAGCAGUUUCCAAUGCAACUCACUCUGAAGCAAAGUGGGGCUGGCCUCCUGUGAGCCUGGUGAUGUUUCAAGGUAAGUCCUAGCUGCUCUGGGGGCCUUAGGAGGAAGUCCUGCAAGAAAGUGUGGUGUCACCAGUUGGGCCACAAAUCUGUGGCAGUGCACCAGAAAGGAAACAGGUAACUGCCAGACAGGGGGAAGUAGUUACCUUCAAUGUGGCUCCAUCCACUUUUAGUCCUCUGUAGCUUUGCAAAAUGUAUCUGUCAGGCAAGGCUUGCCUUUCCUUUUGCUGUCUUGCAGGAAAGACAAGGAAAAGAAGAAUUGCUUCAUCUUGCAGCUGCAGAUGUGAGAUGUGGAGGUUAAAGGCCAGAUCUGAAACAGAUUUAGACCUAGGCAAAACGAGAUGCCCCAAGACAGGUUUCCUCCCAGGGGCCACAGCUGGCAUGGCUUCACUGCAGGGAAAUGCUGCUCAGGACAGUAACAUUUCUGUUACUAGAGCUAAGGUGCCAGAGAGCUUUUCUUACAGUGAGGAGUAAAGCUGCAGGACCAUGGGCUCUGAACUCCACAACAAAAGGGAGAAGGAGGUGGAGCAAGAAGGACGGCUACUAGGCACGGUGAACCUGGGCUUUCUCCAGGGUUGUUCAUGUACAUAAUCACAGGGUUUUUCCCUGUGAUAUGAACCACAUCAGCAGCCACUCUAGCUGACAGGGCAGGAGCAAGCAUUGCCAGCGCUGCAAAGCUGUGCCCUGGAAAGUGCUGCUGUAAUCUGAAAGUGGAGUUUAUUAACUCCAGAUUUUUCCAGUGUAGCUGGCAUGCCAACAAUGCUGUCUGAACACAAAGACUCACUCGCAGAGAUAUUAAUCAG